GAUGAACGCUGGCGGCGUGCCUAACACAUGCAAGUCGAGCGAAAGGACGAGAAGCUUUCUUCGCUGAUGUUAGCGGCGGGCGGGUGAGUAACACGUGGAUACCCUACCUCUAUGACUGAGAUAACUUCGGGAAACCGGAUCUAAUACCGUAUAAUAUUUUGUACGGCAUGAUUCAAGAGAGAUUGACGGUUUUGGUGUUACUUAUAGGCGGAUCCGCGUUGGAUUAGCUAGUUGGUAAGGUAACGGCUUACCAAGGCGACGAUGCGUAGCUGGUCUGAGAGGGUGAUCAGCCACACUGGAACUGAGACACGGUCCAGACUCCUACGGGAGGCAGCAGUGGGGAAUAUUGCACAAAGGGCGAAAGCCUGACGCAGCAACGCCGCGUGAGUGAUGAAGGUCUUCGGAUUGUAAAACUCUGUUAGUAGGGAAGAACAUAUGUGUAUGUAACAGUGGAUGUUUUGACGGUACCUAAAGAAAAAGCACCGGCUAACUACGUG
Molecule: ribosomal RNA, 497 nt
Filed under: uncultured bacterium
Lineage: Bacteria
Description: partial 16S ribosomal RNA
Rfam family: Bacterial small subunit ribosomal RNA
Source: RNAcentral